CAGCCGCGUAAUUCCAGCUCCAAUAGCGUAUAUUAAAGUUGUUGCAGUUAAAAAGCUCGUAGUUGAACUUCGGGAUCAAUUAGUUGGUCAUGCCUUGGUAUGUACUGAUUUUAUUGGUUCUCACCUUCUAAAGAACUAUAAUGUCAUUUAUUUGAUGUUAUAGGGAAUUAGGACUGUUACCUUGAAAAAAUUAGAGUGUUUAAAGCAGGCUCACGCUUGACUACAUUAGCAUGGAAUAAUGAAAUAGGACAUCGCAUUCUAUUUUGUUGGUUUCUAGGAUCGAUGUAAUGAUUAAUAGGGAUAGUUGGGGGCAGUAGUAUUCAAUUGUCAGAGGUGAAAUUCUUGGAUUUAUUGAAGACUAACUACUGCGAAAGCAUUUGCCAAGGAUGUUUUCAUUAAUCAAGAACGAAAGUUAGGGGAUCGAAGACGAUCAGAUACCGUCGUAGUCUUAACCAUAAACUAUGCCGACUAGGGAUCGGAUGAUGUUGAUUUUUUAAUGACUCAUUCGGCACCUUACG
RNAcentral lists this unclassified non-coding RNA (518 nucleotides) under uncultured Glomeromycotina. RNAcentral describes it as "SSU rRNA". It matches the Rfam family "Eukaryotic small subunit ribosomal RNA", at positions 571 to 1092 of the family's 1831-position model. Lineage: Eukaryota; Fungi; Glomeromycota. The record is from RNAcentral.